Molecule: microRNA precursor, 80 nt
Filed under: Eptesicus fuscus (big brown bat)
Lineage: Eukaryota; Metazoa; Chordata; Mammalia; Chiroptera; Vespertilionidae
Description: microRNA efu-mir-200b precursor
Gene: efu-mir-200b
Rfam family: mir-8/mir-141/mir-200 microRNA precursor family (bases 7-72)
About the family: The bounds of the precursors are predicted based on conservation and base pairing and are not generally known.
Source: miRBase by way of RNAcentral
GCGGCCAUCGCCAUCUUACUGGGCAGCAUUGGAUGUGUCAGGUCUCUAAUACUGCCUGGUAAUGAUGACGGCGGGGCCCU